GACGAACGCUGGCGGCGUGCUUAACACAUGCAAGUCGAACGGAAAGGCCCUGCUUUUGUGGGGUGCUCGAGUGGCGAACGGGUGAGUAACACGUGAGUAACCUGCCCUUGACUUUGGGAUAACUUCAGGAAACUGGGGCUAAUACCGGAUAGGAGCUCCUGCUGCAUGGUGGGGGUUGGAAAGUUUCGGCGGUUGGGGAUGGACUCGCGGCUUAUCAGCUUGUUGGUGGGGUAGUGGCUUACCAAGGCUUUGACGGGUAGCCGGCCUGAGAGGGUGACCGGCCACAUUGGGACUGAGAUACGGCCCAGACGCCUACGGGAGGCAGCAGUGGGGAAUAUUGCACAAUGGGCGGAAGCCUGAUGCAGCAACGCCGCGUGCGGGAUGACGGCCUUCGGGUUGUAAAACGCUUUCGCCUGUGACGAAGCGUGAGUGACGGUAAUGGGUAAAGAAGCACCGGCUAACUACGUG
RNAcentral lists this ribosomal RNA (468 nucleotides) under uncultured bacterium. Its description in RNAcentral is "partial 16S ribosomal RNA". It matches the Rfam family "Bacterial small subunit ribosomal RNA", at positions 28 to 507 of the family's 1533-position model. The record is from RNAcentral.